GCCAGACUCCUACGGGAGGCAGCAGUGGGGAAUAUUGCACAAUGGGGGAAACCCUGAUGCAGCGACGCCGCGUGAGUGAAGAAGUCAUUCGUGAUGUAAAGCUCUAUCAGCAGGGAAGAAAAUGACGGUACCUGACCAAGAAGCCCCGGCUAACUACGUGCCAGCAGCCGCGGUAAUACGUAGGGGGCAAGCGUUAUCCGGAUUUAUUGGGUUUAAAGGGUGCGUAGGCUGUGAGGUAAGUCAGCGGUGAAAUGCCCCCGCUCAACGGGGUGAAGUGCCAUUGAUACUGCCUUGCUGGAAUGCGGAUGCCGUGGGAGGAAUGUGUGGUGUAGCGGUGAAAUGCAUAGAUAUCACACAGAACACCGAUUGCGAAGGCAUCUCACGAAUCCGCGAUUGGCGCUGAUGCACGAAAGCGUGGGUAUCAAACAGGAUUAGAUACCCUCGUAC
RNAcentral lists this ribosomal RNA (447 nucleotides) under uncultured bacterium. RNAcentral describes it as "bacterial SSU rRNA". It matches the Rfam family "Bacterial small subunit ribosomal RNA", at positions 330 to 793 of the family's 1533-position model. The record is from RNAcentral.